Long non-coding RNA from Lynx canadensis (Canada lynx), 2059 nucleotides. RefSeq lists it as uncharacterized. The record is from RefSeq and is a predicted model, not a curated record. Lineage: Eukaryota; Metazoa; Chordata; Mammalia; Carnivora; Felidae. The transcript is spliced from 2 exons.
UGCAAAUAUUUUCUCCCCUUUACUAGGUUGCCUUUUCGUUUUGUUGAUGAUUUCCUUUGCAAGGAUGAAGCUUUUUAGUCCGCUGUAUUUCCACCUUGCUUAUUUUUUACUUUUGUUGUGUUUGGUUUUGGAAUCAGAUCCAAGAAGUUAUCACCAAGGUUGAUGUAGUGGUGACUGUGUUUCCAAAGAUGACCACAUCAAUAUCUCCCCUCCCAAAAGCUCUUUUGCAAUGUGACCUAGACAAUUACCCUUCAACGGAUGGAGUCUACUUCCUCUCCCUUUGCAUGGGGGUUAGCCCUCUGACCUGUUCUGACCAAUAGAACCGGAUGGAAGCACUAACAUGUAGCUUCUGGGGUGCAAGCCUUAACAGACCUGCAGCUUCUAUCGCUUUUGGUUGGAACGUCUCUUCUUGGAAGUCAGUUCCAUGUCCAGUCACCUUGCCAGAGAUCAAGGCCAUCGUGGAGAGAGGCCAAUGGCUAUUUUGAUCGUUCCAGCUCAAGCCAAACUCCCAUCAGAACAGCCCAGCCUAAGCCCCAGCCAAACAAAAGAACCACGAGAAAUGGUAAAUUAUUUCAAGCCACCAAACUCUGAAGUGGUUAUGUAGAAAGAACCAAAACAUAGUGUGUGGAGGUUAACUCAGUCGUUCUUGGUAAAAUGAUCUCUCGUCAUUCCUUUAAAUCUUUCAUGAAGACUGUAACAAGAUAUUCCACAACACGUGCUGUUCUUAAAUGUGAUGCGGACACUCCUCCCAUUGAGGGCUGGAGUCUAUAUUCAAGUCUUCUCUUGAAUUUGGGGGUGCCUAUCGCUAAGGUGGAAGUGAUACUAAGUUUUAAAAAAAGAUGAUCUCUUCUGCUUGGUUCUCUCGGGAGCCUCUCUCUUGGCAUCCAGCCACCCUGAUGUGUGGAAGCUGGGAGACCCUAUUGGGGGGGCAGCCUGUAGGUGUUCCUGCUGAGAUCCUAGCCCACAGCCAGCACAAUGGAGGAGUGACUCCGGAUGAUUCCAGCACCGACCUGGCAAGUCACCUCUAAGCCUCCGUCUUCCCAGAUGGAGUCCCAGAGAUUUUGGACCAGACAAAUGCUGUUUCUACUCCUUUCAAACUCUUGACCCUGUAGUGGUUUGUUACACAGCAGGAGAUCAUUAGAACACUCCCUAAUGCCACUCAAGGUGGCACCUAGGUGAGUGUGGAACUACCAUGGUAGCAGAUUAAAGGAGGCAACCUCAGGUCCCAGUGACUGGCCUCUGGGACCUUACUGCCCUCAGCUGUGUUGGCCUUGGGCACAAGGGCGGCGGAUUUGGAUGACCCCACCCGCGACACCCCGGCUCUGCUCCGAUUCCCUUCCGCGGCGUGUUACCGGCACUGCCGGGAAACGACACCAGCCCUUCCCCACCCUCUGGUAGUGACUCAGCCUCGCAGGCGGGAAGCCUCCCGACCGACGGGGCGGACACACGAGCCGGGGCGGGGGCGUCCGCGGGCGGAAGGCGGGGCUGGACGUGACCACGGACCCGGAAGCCGGGACUUUCGCGGAAGACAGGCGGGCGAAGCCGGACGUGACACGAGGACUGGGGGAGCGAUGACGUCCGCAGCGGGAGGCGGGGCCGGACAUGACCGGGGGCGGGGGAACGGGGACGUCCGCCGGCGGAAGGCGGGGCCGGACGUGACCGGAGGCUAGGGAGGUGGGACAUCCGCGGGCAGAAGGCGGGGCCGGGCGUGACAGGGGGCGGGGCGUGCGGGCGGCGACCUCGGUGGGCGCGGUCGUUGGGCGUCCUCGGGCUCCCGGGGAACGCUGGCUCACCUUUUCUCGGGCCUCAAGCGUCUCAUCUGGGAUUUGGAUUCCCCGGGAUGUUUGAUGAGGCUGGCGAGGUUGGCCGAUGUGCAGGGUCGAUGUCCCGGAGAAGACACUUCCGUGUCCCUGGGCACGUGCGUGUGGCUGGCGCACUGCGGGCACCCGCCCUGAGCCUGGGGGAGAGGGGUCAGGGAUUAGGCGCAACUCGGACGCCCCCAGAAGUAGGAAGGCGAAAUCACCACGUGACGAAUAAAUUUUGGGGAAAUAAGCGUUAA